GUGAGGAAUAUUGGUCAAUGGACGCAAGUCUGAACCAGCUAUGCCGCGUGCAGGAAGAAGGUUCUAUGGAUCGUAAACUGCUUUUGUACAGGAAGAAAUUAUCCCUCGUGAGGGAGCUUGACGGUACUGUAAGAAUAAGGAUCGGCUAACUCCGUGCCAGCAGCCGCGGUAAUACGGAGGAUCCAAGCGUUAUCCGGAAUCAUUGGGUUUAAAGGGUUCGUAGGCGGUUUUGUAAGUCAGUGGUGAAAGUUUGCAGCUUAACUGUAAAAUUGCCAUUGAUACUGCAAGACUUGAAUGUUUGUGAAGUAGCUAGAAUAUGUAGUGUAGCGGUGAAAUGCUUAGAUAUUACAUGGAAUACCGAUUGCGAAGGCAGGUUACUAACAAAUUAUUGACGCUGAUGGACGAAAGCGUGGGGAGCGAACAGGAUUAGAAACCCGGGUAGUCC
This 445-nucleotide ribosomal RNA is filed under the name uncultured bacterium. Its description in RNAcentral is "partial 16S ribosomal RNA". It matches the Rfam family "Bacterial small subunit ribosomal RNA", at positions 354 to 796 of the family's 1533-position model. The record is from RNAcentral.